RNAcentral lists this unclassified non-coding RNA (563 nucleotides) under Hevea brasiliensis (rubber tree). Lineage: Eukaryota; Viridiplantae; Streptophyta; Magnoliopsida; Malpighiales; Euphorbiaceae. The record is from RNAcentral.
CGCAUUUACAUAUAAUUCUCAUUGAUAUGUAUUAGUUAAUUGCAUUGAUAACGCAAUCUCAUGUAAAGAUUCUAACGCCUAUUUGGAUUCAUUUUACAAUUCUACCCCUUAUCAUGGCACCGAUGUUGUCACUAUUGGUAAUGGUACUUCUCUUCCGAUAAUUCAUCAAGGGUCUUCUUAUAUGUCUUCCAAUAAUUUUCAUUUUCUUCUUAGUGAUAUUCUUUGCUCACCCUCUAUUCAAAAUAAUCUUUUGUUUAUUCAUGCCUUUACAGCAACUAACAAUGUCUGUAUUGAAGUUUUCCCUAAUGGCUUUCUUAUUAAGGAUAUUCCCACGAGGCAAGUUCUUCAUCAAGGCCAGAGUAAGGAUGGCUUAUACACCAUGUCAUUGCAUUCCACUGGUUCUACCCCUCUUAUUGCUAAUAUUAGUACAAUAAGUACUUGGCAUGCUCAUUUAGGACAUGCUAAUUCUAGGCAACAUCCUUGGACAAGGGCAAGACAAUAGAACUAGAUUAGUGUUUGUUUUACUUAUGGAGGAUUAAUUUUAGGUAUUGGAGCUUGCUGGG